UGGGGAAUAUUGCACAAUGGGCGCAAGCCUGAUGCAGCCAUGCCGCGUGUGUGAAGAAGGCCUUCGGGUUGUAAAGCACUUUCAGCGAGGAGGAAGGUGGUGAACUUAAUACGUUCAUCAAUUGACGUUACUCGCAGAAGAAGCACCGGCUAACUCCGUGCCAGCAGCCGCGGUAAUACGGAGGGUGCAAGCGUUAAUCGGAAUUACUGGGCGUAAAGCGCACGCAGGCGGUUUGUUAAGUCAGAUGUGAAAUCCCCGGGCUCAACCUGGGAACUGCAUUUGAAACUGGCAAGCUAGAGUCUCGUAGAGGGGGUAGAAUUCCAGGUGUAGCGGUGAAAUGCGUAGAGAUCUGGAGGAAUACCGGUGGCGAAGGCGGCCCCCUGGACGAAGACUGACGCUCAGGUGCGAAAGCGUGGGGAGCAAACAGAUUAGAUACCCUGGUAGUCCACGCUGUAAACGAUGUCGAUUUUGGAGGUUGUGCCCUUGAGGCGUGGCUUCCGGAGCUAACGCGUUAAAUCGACCGCCUGGGG
Molecule: ribosomal RNA, 530 nt
Filed under: uncultured bacterium
Lineage: Bacteria
Description: partial 16S ribosomal RNA
Rfam family: Bacterial small subunit ribosomal RNA
Source: RNAcentral